GUCCGCAACGAGCGCAACCCUCGUCCUUAGUUGCCAUCAUUAAGUUGGGAACUCUAGGGAGACUGCCGGUGACAAACCGGAGGAAGGUGAGGAUGACGUCAAGUCAGCAUGCCCCUUACGCUCUGGGCGACACACGUACUACAAUGGUUGGGACAAAGGGCAGCAACCCCGCGAGGGAAAGCGAAUCUCAUCAAACCCAGCCUCAGUUCAGAUUGCAGGCUGCAACUCGCCUGCAUGAAGUAGGAAUCGCUAGUAAUCGCAGGUCAGCAUACUGCGGUGAAUUCGUUCCCGGGCCUUGUACACACCGCCCGUCACACCAU
RNAcentral lists this ribosomal RNA (320 nucleotides) under uncultured epsilon proteobacterium B2M2. RNAcentral describes it as "bacterial SSU rRNA". It matches the Rfam family "Bacterial small subunit ribosomal RNA", at positions 1085 to 1405 of the family's 1533-position model. The record is from RNAcentral. Lineage: Bacteria; Pseudomonadati; Campylobacterota.